Molecule: ribosomal RNA, 200 nt
Filed under: uncultured bacterium
Lineage: Bacteria
Description: partial 16S ribosomal RNA
Rfam family: Bacterial small subunit ribosomal RNA
Source: RNAcentral
GAUGAACGCUGGCGGAGUGCCUAAUACAUGCAAGUCGAGCGGCAGCGCGAGUAGUUUACUACUUGGCAGCGAGCGGCGGACGGCUGAGUAACGCGUGGGAACGUGCCCCAAAGUGAGGAAUAACCACCCGGAAAGGGUGGCUAAUGCCGCAUAUGAUCUUCGGAUUAAAGUAUUUAUACGCUUUGGGAGCGGCCCGCGUC